CCUACGGGAGGCAGCAGUGCGGAAUAUUGGUCAAUGGGCGAGCGCCUGAACCAGCCAAGUCGCGUGAGGGAUGAAGGAUCUAUGGUUUGUAAACUUCUUUUGUAUGGGAAUAACGUGAGGAACGUGUUCCUUUUUGUAUGUACCCUAUGAAUAAGCAUCGUCUUACUACGUGCCAGGAGCCGCGGUAAUACAGAGGAUGCGAGCGUUAUCCGGUAGUAUUGGGUUUUAAGUGUGCGGAAGUGGGAAUUUAAGUUAGGGGGGAAAGUGUGUGGCUCAAACAUAGACUUGCCGUUGAAACUGUUUGACUGGAGUAUAUGUGAGGUAGGCGGAAUGCGUGGUGUAGCGGUGAAAUGCAUAGAUAUCACGCAGAACUCCGAUUGCGAAGGCAGCUUACUAAACUAUAACUGACACUGAAGCACGAAAGCGUGGGGAUCAAACAGGAUUAGAUACCCCAGUAGUC
This 460-nucleotide ribosomal RNA is filed under the name uncultured bacterium. RNAcentral describes it as "partial 16S ribosomal RNA". It matches the Rfam family "Bacterial small subunit ribosomal RNA", at positions 338 to 795 of the family's 1533-position model. The record is from RNAcentral.